RNAcentral lists this ribosomal RNA (441 nucleotides) under uncultured bacterium. RNAcentral's name for it is "partial 16S ribosomal RNA". It matches the Rfam family "Bacterial small subunit ribosomal RNA", at positions 338 to 795 of the family's 1533-position model. The record is from RNAcentral.
CCUACGGGAGGCUGCAGUGGGGGAUCUUGCACAAUGGGGGGAACCCUGAUGCAGCGACGCCGCGUGGGUGAAGGAGUGCUUCGGCAUGUAAAGCCCUAUCGGCAGGGAAGAAGCAAGACGGUACCUGACUUAGAAGCACCGGCUAACUACGUGCCAGCAGCCGCGGUAAUACGUAGGGGGCGAGCGUUAUCCGUAUGCACUGGGCGUAAAGUGAGCGUAGGCGGUCAUGCACGCCAGGGGUGAAAGCCCGGGGCUGAACCCCGGGACUGCCCUUGGAACUGAAUGGCUGGAGGGCGGGAGGGGAAGGUGGAAUUCCCGGUGUAGCGGUGAAAUGCGUAGAUAUCAGGAGGAACACCGGCGGCGAAGGCGGCCUGCUGGACCGCGACUGACGUUGAGGCUCGAAAGCGUGGGGAGCGAACAGGAUUAGAUACCCGUGUAGUC